Molecule: ribosomal RNA, 572 nt
Filed under: Chromohalobacter sp.
Lineage: Bacteria; Pseudomonadati; Pseudomonadota; Gammaproteobacteria; Oceanospirillales; Halomonadaceae
Description: bacterial SSU rRNA
Rfam family: Bacterial small subunit ribosomal RNA
Source: RNAcentral
GUCCACGCCGUAAACGAUGUCGACUAGCCGUUGGGUCCCUUGAGGACUUAGUGGCGCAGUUAACGCGAUAAGUCGACCGCCUGGGGAGUACGGCCGCAAGGUUAAAACUCAAAUGAAUUGACGGGGGCCCGCACAAGCGGUGGAGCAUGUGGUUUAAUUCGAUGCAACGCGAAGAACCUUACCUACCCUUGACAUCCUGCGAACCCGGAAGAGAUUCCGGGGUGCCUUCGGGAGCGCAGAGACAGGUGCUGCAUGGCUGUCGUCAGCUCGUGUUGUGAAAUGUUGGGUUAAGUCCCGUAACGAGCGCAACCCUUGUCCCUAUUUGCCAGCGAUUCGGUCGGGAACUCUAGGGAGACUGCCGGUGACAAACCGGAGGAAGGUGGGGACGACGUCAAGUCAUCAUGGCCCUUACGGGUAGGGCUACACACGUGCUACAAUGGCCGGUACAAAGGGUUGUGAAGCCGCGAGGCGAAGCCAAUCCCAGAAAGCUGGCCUCAGUCUCGAUCGGAGUGGCAACUUGACUCCAUGAAGUCGUAAUCGAGUGUAAUGCAGCAACCGAAAGACCCGAAUCC